This is a long non-coding RNA of Mesoplodon densirostris (Blainville's beaked whale), 1912 nucleotides long. RefSeq lists it as uncharacterized. NCBI's taxonomy places the organism in Eukaryota, Metazoa, Chordata, Mammalia, Artiodactyla, Ziphiidae. The record is from RefSeq and is a predicted model, not a curated record. The transcript has 3 exons.
AGAUGAUACCACGUGUUCACCGAAAUGGGCAACAAUGAGAACUCUCAUAAGCUGCUGGUGAGUGUGUAAAUUCAUACAACCACUCUGGGACACUCUGUGGCAUUACUACUAAAGCAACUAACCCUCUCCACACUGCAGGACACAAAUAUUCUACUUCUAGGUUCAACCCCAGCAGAAAUGUGCACUCGUGAAUGAAAAGACAUGGAAAAAGAAUGUUCAUAGCAGCAUUAUUCACCACAGCAGCACUGUCCAGCAACAGUAAAGCAGGCAGGAAGGAGCUGACUUGACGUUCCCUCUUGGCUGGAGCCCUUCUUCCUUAAGCCAGUAAAACCACAUGGUCUAAGACGAAUGGGAAUCUCUUCUAUGCCAUGGAAGGAACGCUAUGGUCUGAGUCCUCCAGACUUAGCCCUUGAUAUGGGACCAGAAGACAAUAUCAGCAAUUGGCCCUUACCCUCCAGUUCCUGACGGUGCCUGGAUAAGAACCACAAAGGAUCCCCAAGCAGAGGUCCCCUUAGAUACGUGUAUGGAUGAAAGGCGUCUGUCUUGUGCCUUCUCCAGAGCAGGGGAGAACCAGCCCGGCGCCCUCUCCCCACGCUGUCUGGAGCCCUCGGGGGGAAAGGUGCCAGGAGCAGCGCCGCAGCCUGCCCGGCAUCCACUCAACCUCCACUACCGACCUGGGCGCCCCGGCUCUGCGCCCGGGCUCCACACGGUCUCCUGGCGGCAAGCUGGAGACCCAGCACUCGGCUGGCCGUGAGGCCCCGGCCCCCCUUCCCAUUCCGCUUACUUUGUCGGCAGCGGUGAGGCGGGUCCAGGGCUUGUCGGCCCUGCGGUCAUAGUCCUGAGCAUCGGCCACCUCCACAUAAUCGCUGAAGCGGAUGAGGAUCUUCCGUUCCCUCAGCUCUUCCACUGUGGGCCUCUGGCUGAGCUGUGGGAGGGAGAGAUGGAUGCAGUCAGCCUGUGACGUUUAGAUCACUUGGUCCAUCGUGAACUUAUAGGUGGGAAGACGAGGUCCAGAGAGGUAGCUGAUGCAUCACACACAUGUGAGGGGCAAGGGACACAGGGCUCCUGAUUCCUGGACUUCUCCAGGGCUCUGUGAAGGAGUUUACUAACUCAUGAGCUGCCUCCAGGCCUAUUCAGACAGCCAGCCAGGCUGUCUCUUAAUAACACUGCAGUGUCUCGGUCUGUACACACGGUGUGUCUGCAUGGGUGUGGAUCUUCCCACGUCUGUCCUACCUUUCCCAGCAGGUGACAGAAACCUUACACAACAGUUUUAUAUUAUUCUCAAUUUGUGAAUCCACAUCUGUGUGUCAAAUUUAGUGCUCUCUGCAAGAUGGGUUUGUAAUACUUUCUGUGUGUGUGUCUUAGACACAAAGAAAGUGUAUGUGCAAACAGUAUGCAAACUACGGGGUGUGCAGGAAUGAGAAUAUGUUGAUUUAUGAGGUCAUGGAGACCCUACCCCUCAAUAGCUCAAAUGAAAGGUGAGUCCACAAAGGCAGAGCUAGCCCGUGUUGAUGCCAAGGAAGACCCAGACGGGCCCUUUGGAUAGGUCUGUGGUGAAGGAAUGAAACAAGUGAAUUAUUCAACCAUCUCCCAGUGUUACCCGCUAGCAUCCUUCCUUUGUACUUUAACAACAUAAGGCUGACAUUUCUAUUAUCUCUUCCUGUCACCAGAUUUAUUUCUUCUGGAGCAACACAGUUGCUCUCUCUUUAGGAUGCUGUCAAUUCAUGUUCAACCGAUGUUAGUUAAAAGCAAUUUUUCUCUAAGCCCUAGACUGUAUUUAAUUCUAUUAAUAGAAGAUGCAGUCAAAUAGAAUCUUACCACAAAGGCCUAUAAAACAAACACAUGCAAGUGAAUCCGAACCACUCCAGCUGUUUUGACUGUAUAUCAUACACCUUUGGCUGCUGCCAGAAUG